UACGUAGGGUGCAAGCGUUGUCCGGAAUUAUUGGGCGUAAAGAGCUCGUAGGCGGUCCGUCGCGUCUGCUGUGAAAACCCGAGGCUCAACCUCGGGCCUGCAGUGGGUACGGGCGGACUAGAGUGCGGUAGGGGAGAUUGGAAUUCCAGGUGUAGCGGUGAAAUGCGUAGAUAUCUGGAGGAACACCGGUGGCGAAGGCGGCAUCCUGGACCGAUAUUGACGCUGAGACGCGAAAGCGUGGGGAGCAAACAGG
This 253-nucleotide ribosomal RNA is filed under the name uncultured bacterium. RNAcentral describes it as "partial 16S ribosomal RNA". It matches the Rfam family "Bacterial small subunit ribosomal RNA", at positions 524 to 776 of the family's 1533-position model. The record is from RNAcentral.